This 468-nucleotide ribosomal RNA is filed under the name uncultured bacterium. Its description in RNAcentral is "partial 16S ribosomal RNA". It matches the Rfam family "Bacterial small subunit ribosomal RNA", at positions 28 to 507 of the family's 1533-position model. The record is from RNAcentral.
GAUGAACGCUGGCGGCGUGCUUAACACAUGCAAGUCGAACGGUGAAGGCGGAGCUUGCUCUGCUGGAUCAGUGGCGAACGGGUGAGUAACACGUGAGCAAUCUGCCCCUGACUCUGGGAUAAGCGCUGGAAACGGCGUCUAAUACUGGAUACGAGCUGCGAAGGCAUCUUCAGCAGCUGGAAAGAACUUCGGUCAGGGAUGAGCUCGCGGCCUAUCAGCUUGUUGGUGAGGUAACGGCUCACCAAGGCGUCGACGGGUAGCCGGCCUGAGAGGGUGACCGGCCACACUAGGACUGAGACACGGCCCAGACUCCUACGGGAGGCAGCAGUGGGGAAUAUUGCACAAUGGGCGAAAGCCUGAUGCAGCAACGCCGCGUGAGGGACGACGGCCUUCGGGUUGUAAACCUCUUUUAGCAGGGAAGAAGCGAAAGUGACGGUACCUGCAGAAAAAGCGCCGGCUAACUACGUG